This 260-nucleotide ribosomal RNA is filed under the name uncultured bacterium. RNAcentral describes it as "partial 16S ribosomal RNA". It matches the Rfam family "Bacterial small subunit ribosomal RNA", at positions 94 to 354 of the family's 1533-position model. The record is from RNAcentral.
AGCGGCGGACGGGUGAGUAACGCGUGGGUAACCUGCCUUACACAGAGGGAUAACAGUUAGAAAUGACUGCUAAUACCGCAUAAGACCCCGGUACCGCAUGGUACUGAGGUAAAAACUGAGGUGGUGUAAGAUGGACCCGCGUCUGAUUAGGUAGUUGGUGAGGUAACGGCUCACCAAGCCGACGAUCAGUAGCCGGCCUGAGAGGGUGGACGGCCACAUUGGGACUGAGACACGGCCCAGACUCCUACGGAAGGCAGCAG